AGUGAACGCUGGCGGUAGGCCUAACACAUGCAAGUCGAACGGCAGCACAGUAAGAGCUUGCUCUUACGGGUGGCGAGUGGCGGACGGGUGAGGAAUACAUCGGAAUCUACUUUUUCGUGGGGGAUAAUGUAGGGAAACUUACGCUAAUACCGCAUACGACCUACGGGUGAAAGCAGGGGAUCUUCGGACCUUGCGCGAUUGAAUGAGCCGAUGUUGGAUUAGCUAGUUGGCGGGGUAAAGGCCCACCAAGGCGACGAUCCGUAGCUGGUCUGAGAGGAUGAUCAGCCACACUGGAACUGAGACACGGUCCAGACUCCUACGGGAGGAGGCAGUGGGGAAUAUUGGACAAUGGGCGCAAGCCUGAUCCAGCCAUACCGCGUGGGUGAAGAAGGCCUUCGGGUUGUAAAGCCAUUUUGUUGGGAAAGAAAAGCAGCAGGUUAAUACCCCGCUGUUCUGACGGUACCCAAAGAAUAAGCACCGGCUAACUUCGUG
RNAcentral lists this ribosomal RNA (492 nucleotides) under uncultured bacterium. RNAcentral's name for it is "partial 16S ribosomal RNA". It matches the Rfam family "Bacterial small subunit ribosomal RNA", at positions 29 to 507 of the family's 1533-position model. The record is from RNAcentral.